Molecule: unclassified non-coding RNA, 373 nt
Filed under: Hevea brasiliensis (rubber tree)
Lineage: Eukaryota; Viridiplantae; Streptophyta; Magnoliopsida; Malpighiales; Euphorbiaceae
Source: RNAcentral
GUUUUAAUUUGGGAAACUGUAGCCUGUUGGUUUUGUUCCAUUUUUUGUAAUUGCUUACCUAUGGUAUGCAAAUGGGCAUUUGUAAAGUUAUUCUGUAGAACAAUAUUUUUUAUAUUUACAGAAUUGUUUUCGUUUGGAAUUUUGUAAUGGGAUGCUUCUACUGUUUGGUCUAAAUGGGGAAUUUUCAUCUUCCUAAGAGGAGAAUGUUCAGAUUGUAUUUUUCUACCAUCUAAAAUUUUCCAUUCGGGAGUUUUAUUUCUAACAGUGACAGGGUUUACAGACAAUUUUUCUUCUGUUUUCUUCAAAAGAGUUCUUAGAGCCGUAAUAAACUCUGAUUGGUUGUCUUCUAACUCCUGUUGUUUAGGUUUUGAAA